GACCAAGGAGUCUAACGGGCACGCAAGUCGAAGGGCCGUAUACGAAGCCCCUAGGCGCAAUGAAAGUAAAGGGCGGUGUAGAUCGUCCGAGGUGGGAUCCGCGUCCUCUGGGCGCGGCGCACCACCGCCCCGUCUCGUCCGCUUAGCUCGGUGAGGCGGAGGAAGAGCGUGUACGCUAGGAUAUGCCCGAGCAGGAUGAAGCCAGAGGAAACUCUGGUGGAGGUCCGCAGCGAUUCUGACGUGCAAAUCGAUCGCCCGACUUGGGUAUAGGGGCGAAAGACUAAUCGAACCAUCUA
This 296-nucleotide ribosomal RNA is filed under the name Gorgonocephalus eucnemis. RNAcentral's name for it is "partial 28S large subunit ribosomal RNA". It matches the Rfam family "Eukaryotic large subunit ribosomal RNA", at positions 664 to 946 of the family's 3401-position model. The record is from RNAcentral. Lineage: Eukaryota; Metazoa; Echinodermata; Ophiuroidea; Euryalida; Gorgonocephalidae.